Molecule: ribosomal RNA, 435 nt
Filed under: uncultured bacterium
Lineage: Bacteria
Description: partial 16S ribosomal RNA
Rfam family: Bacterial small subunit ribosomal RNA
Source: RNAcentral
AACGAACGCUGGCGGCAUGCCUAACACAUGUAAGUCGAACGAUUGCCUUCGGGUGAUAGUGGCGCACGGGUGCGUAACGCGUGGGAAUCUGCCCUUAGGUUCGGAAUAACAGCUGGAAACGGCUGCUAAUACCGGAUGAUAUCGCGAGAUCAAAGAUUUAUCGCCUGAGGAUGAGCCCGCGUUGGAUUAGGUAGUUGGUGGGGUAAAGGCCUACCAAGCCGACGAUCCAUAGCUGGUCUGAGAGGAUGAUCAGCCACACUGGGACUGAGACACGGCCCAGACUCCUACGGGAGGCAGCAGUGGGGAAUAUUGGACAAUGGGCGCAAGCCUGAUCCAGCAAUGCCGCGUGAGUGAUGAAGGCCCUAGGGUUGUAAAGCUCUUUUACCCGGGAAGAUAAUGACUGUACCGGGAGAAUAAGCCCCGGCUAACUCCGUG